UUUCCUGACAGAAAAAGUACUGACUGUGAGU
RNAcentral lists this non-coding RNA (31 nucleotides) under Rattus norvegicus (Norway rat). The record is from RNAcentral. Lineage: Eukaryota; Metazoa; Chordata; Mammalia; Rodentia; Muridae.